CUUGGUUUGAAAGCUUCGGUGGAUACGGAUGAGCUCGCGAGACAUUAGUUAGUUGGCGGGGUAACGGCCCACCAAGACCGCGAUGUCUAGGGGAACUGAGAGGUUGGUCCCCCACACUGGAACUGAGACACGGUCCAGACUCCUACGGGAGGCAGCAGUGAGGAAUAUUGGACAAUGGUCGGAAGACUGAUCCAGCCAUGCCGCGUGAAGGAUAAGGUCCUAUGGAUUGUAAACUUCUUUUGAGUGGGAGCAAUAAGGGUAUCGUGAUACCCGAUGAGAGUACCAUUCGAAUAAGCAUCGGCUAACUCCGUGCCAGCAGCCGCGGUAAUACGGAGGAUGCGAGCGUUAUCCGGAUUUAUUGGGUUUAAAGGGUGCGUAGGCGGUUUUUCAAGUCAGCGGUGAAACGCAAGGGCUCAACCCUUGACCUGCCGUUGAAACUGUUGGACUAGAAUGCGGAUGCUGUGGGAGGAAUGUGUGGUGUAGCGGUGAAAUGCAUAGAUAUCACACAGAACACCGAUUGCGAAGGCAUCUCACAAAUCCGUGAUUGACGCUGAGGCACGAAAGUGUGGGGAUCAAACAG
Molecule: ribosomal RNA, 580 nt
Filed under: uncultured rumen bacterium
Lineage: Bacteria
Description: bacterial SSU rRNA
Rfam family: Bacterial small subunit ribosomal RNA
Source: RNAcentral